RNAcentral lists this ribosomal RNA (293 nucleotides) under uncultured eukaryote. Its description in RNAcentral is "partial 18S ribosomal RNA". It matches the Rfam family "Eukaryotic small subunit ribosomal RNA", at positions 6 to 303 of the family's 1831-position model. The record is from RNAcentral.
GGUUGAUCCUGCCAGUAGUCAUAUGCUUGUCUCAAAGAUUAAGCCAUGCAUGUCUAAGUAUAAGCAAUUAUACCGCGAAACUGCGAAUGGCUCAUUAUAUAAGUUAUCGUUUAUUUGAUAAUACUUUACUACUUGGAUAACCGUGGUAAUUCUAGAGCUAAUACAUGCUAAAAAUCCCGACUUCGGAAGGGUUGUAUUUAUUAGAUUAAAAACCAAUGCCCCUCGGGGCUCUCUGGUGAAUCAUGAUAACUAGUCGAAUCGACAGGCCUUGUGCCGGCGAUGGCUCAUUCAAA